Molecule: non-coding RNA, 114 nt
Organism: Acanthosepion pharaonis
Lineage: Eukaryota; Metazoa; Mollusca; Cephalopoda; Sepiida; Sepiidae
Source: the annotation of a GenBank genome assembly
UUACGACCACAACACGUUGAUAGACCGGUUCGCGUACGAACAGCGAAGUUAAGCAACAUCGAGCCUGGUCAGUACUUAGACGAGUGACCGUUUGGUAAGACAUGGUACUGUAAG